Frankia sp. is the source of this 75-nucleotide non-coding RNA. It matches the Rfam family "ASpks TB sRNA". The record is from Rfam. Lineage: Bacteria; Bacillati; Actinomycetota; Actinomycetes; Frankiales; Frankiaceae.
CUUGACCGACCCCAGGUACACGGGCCGGUCCGCGGGCCGGUCCUGGCCGUAGGUGGCCAGCAGCGCCUCGGCCUC